CGGGGCGUGGCGCAGUUUGGCUAGCGCGUCGGCUUUGGGAGCCGAAGGCCGCCGGUUCAAGUCCGGCCGCCCCGACCA
RNAcentral lists this transfer RNA (78 nucleotides) under Armatimonadota bacterium. RNAcentral describes it as "Armatimonadetes bacterium (bioreactor metagenome) tRNA-Pro". It matches the Rfam family "tRNA". From Rfam's summary of the family: Transfer RNA (tRNA) molecules are approximately 80 nucleotides in length. Their secondary structure includes four short double-helical elements and three loops (D, anti-codon, and T loops). The record is from RNAcentral. Lineage: Bacteria; Bacillati; Armatimonadota.